GUGAACCUAGCCGCUGGGCUGUGCGGACAGGUUCGCGUGGGGCUCCUGGGCCUCCCGCAGCCGCGUAGGUUUCGGGAACCGGGUCGCCUCCCUGCCUCCGGAUUCUCACGCGCUGGUGUCCGGUGGCCCUGGGAAAUCUUUUCUUUUAACAAUGUGUAUUCCUUGGGUCCUACCUAUCUAACACUUCUGCUGGUUUCUUUUUCUUCUCUUUUAGAGUUCAAUAUUUGCUCUGCUCUUUUUUGUUGUUUGUUUGUUUGAGACGGAGUCUCACACUGUCGCCCUGGCUGGAGUGCGGUGGCGCGAUCUCGGCUCACUGCAACCUCCGCCUCCCGGGUUCAAGCGAUUCUCCUGCCUCAGCCUCCCAAGUAGCUAGGAUUGCAGGCGCCCGCCAGAACGCCCAGCUAAUUUUUGUAUUUUUAGUAGAGAUGGAGUUUCACUAUGUUGGCCAGGCUGGUCUCAAACUCCUGACCUCGUGAUCCGCCCGCCGCGGCCUCCCAAAGUGCUGGGAUUACAGGUGUGAGCCACCGCGCCGACCUGCUCUGGUCUUUAUUAUUCUUAUUUUUCUUUACCUUGCUCAGUUCCCUUGUUUUCCCCUAUCGUCGUCUCCUUCCUUCCUUCCUAAGGCUGGCUACAUCUCCCUGUCUCCAACCUGGCUUAGCCACCUUAAUUAGCACCAAUUAUUUUGUUCUUACUUCAGAUGGGUCUUUUUUUCCCUAGUUUUUGUUAUUCCUUAAGUCUUGACUUAACUGUCAGGUCGAUCUCUGAGAGCAGAUCAUGAUUUAUUUAUUGAAGGAGGAGUCCUCUCCUUACUCAGGGGGUUGCUGUUGCCACAUGGCGACUGUGGUCACCGUCUCUCCUGGACCUGCCUAGAUCCAAAAGCCAGCCCUGGAAGGAACACCUCUCAUUCUCAAGAAGAAGUUAAUGUCUGCCUUACAGUAGAUGUCCAAUAAAUCUUCUUUGAACAAUUAAACAGAUGCUCAGACUUCAUUUGACCUAAUUUAGGUGAUCCUAUGGAGGGAUCCAAACCUUUGGACUCCCCCAGUAUCCCUGAAGUGGCCUCUUUUGCUGGUAGAGAAACUUUUGCCCAAGAGUCGGGACACAUCGACACAUCCACUUUUGGGGGGGCUUGGUGCACUCCUGGGACAGUGUGGGGUGAAAGGGUCCCUUUCAGGAGUGAAUUCCCUGACCCUGGACACUCAGCUCUCCUCCUGGUUGGCAGAGUGAAGAGUGUCAUGAUUUCCAGGACCCCUCCCCGCUUCAGCUUUCAGUUCAUCGCUCACUCUGGCUUGAAAACAGUACUGACUUGUUAAGUUGCAUGUCUCUCUUCGCCUUGAGGCUUAAAACACCUAGAAGCCGGGUGUGGUGGCUCGCACCUGUGGUCCCAGCUACUGAGCAGGCUGAGGCGGGAGACUUGCUUGAAGCCAGGAGUCCGAGACCAGCCUGGGUGAUAUAGCGAGACCACAUCUCUAAAAAAUCAAAAACAAAAACAGAACACCUGGCCAGGCACAGUGGCUCAGCCUAUAAUCCCAGCACUUUGGGAGGCAGAGGUGGGUGGAUUGCUUGAACCCAGGAGUUCGAGACCAGCCUGGCCAACAUGAUGAAACCCUGUCUCUACUAAACAUACAAAAAUUAGCUGGCCGCGGUGGCACACUCCUGUAAUCCCAGCUACCUGGGAGGCUGAGACAGAAGAAUCGUUUGAACCCAGGAGGUGGGGGUUGGAAUGAGCCGAAAUGGUGCCAUUGCACUUCAGCCUGGAUGACAGAGCGAGACUCUGUCUCAGAAAAACAAAAACAAAACAAAACAACAACAAAAUCCCAAAACCAGAACACCUGGAAAACACCAGACACAAAUCCCAGGAGUAAUUUUUCUUUCAUCAAAUUGACAAUAGCAUCAAUCAGAAUCCCAGGACUCCUAAAACAUGUUUAACUCCAAAAGCAGAGUUGCAAACUCAAAUGCUACAGGGGCCAAGCAGGCACUGUGGCCACCUAGAAAGUGGACCCUGAAGGUGGGGAAGGUGGGUCCAGCAUCGGUAAAUGUUCUAAUUUUUUUUAAAGAAUCAAUUUUAUAGGCUGGGCGCGGUGGCUCACGCCUGUAAUCCCAGCAUUUUAGGAGGCUGAGGUGGGCGGAUCACCUGAGGUCAGGAGUUCCAGACCAGCCUGACCGACAUGGAGAAACCCCAUCUCUACUAAAAACACAAAAUUAGCCAGGUGUGGUGGCACAUGCCUGUAAUCCCAGGUAAUCAGGAGGCUGAGGCAGGAGAAUCGCUUGAACCCAGGAGGCGGAGGUUGGGGUGAGCUGAGAUUGCGCCAUUGCACUCCAGCAUGGGAAGAAGAGCGAAACUCCGUCUAAAAAAAUAAAAGAAUCAGUUUUAUGAGUGUCAAUUUUUUAAUGUUAGAAACUAAGUUAAAAAAAAAACAAAAUUAGCUGGGCGCGGUGGCUCACGCCUGUAAUCCCAGCACUUUGGGAGGCCAAGGCAGGUGGAUCACUCAAGGUCAGGAGUUCGAGACCAGACUAGCCAACACGGUGAAACCCCGUCUCUACUGAAAAUACAAAAAUUAGCCCGGCAUGGUGAUGGGCACCUGUAAUCUCAAAUACUUGGGAAGCUGAGGCAG
This 2612-nucleotide long non-coding RNA is filed under the name Homo sapiens (human). RNAcentral describes it as "non-protein coding lnc-ZNF205-1:4". The stretch from base 2069 to 2185 matches the Rfam family "Metazoan signal recognition particle RNA". The record is from RNAcentral. Lineage: Eukaryota; Metazoa; Chordata; Mammalia; Primates; Hominidae.